UGUGGCUGAUCUUGAAGAAAGAAGAAACCCUCGCGACACCUGGGGUUUGCUGCUCCUAACAGAAGGCGCGGGGGCGUGGUGACGAGCGGAGUCCUUUGAGGAUACUUUUAAGUUUCCUAUGCUCCCCUGGGAGGAAAAGGAGGUGGUGGAGAUCAUAGUGUGUCCGGAACUGGUGGGUUCUUGGUCUCACUGACUUCAAGAAUGAAGCCGUGAAGCCUCGUGGUGAGUGUUACAGUUCUUAAAGGCGGCGUGUCUGGAGUUUUUUCCUUCUGAUGUUCAGAUUUGUUCAGAGUUUCUUCCUUCUGGUGGGUUCGUGGUCUGACGCUGGCUCAGGAGUGAAGCUACAGACCUUCACGGCGAGUGUUAAUAGGUCUUAAGAGGGCACAUGUAGAGUUGUUCCCUCCUCUCAGUGGGUUUGUGGUCUUGCUAUCUUCAGGAGCGAAGCUGCAGACCUUUGUGAUGAGUGUUACAGCUCAUAAGAGCAGUGUGGACCCAAAGUCUCAGCAGCAGCAAGAUUUACUGCAAAGAGCAAAAGAACAAAGUUUCCACAACGUGAAGGGAUACCCAAUCAGAUUGCUGCUGCUGCUAGCUCAAGCAGCCUGCUUUUAUUCUCUUAUCUGACCCCACCCACAUACUGCUCAUUGGUCCAUUUUAUAGAGAGCCGAUUGGUUUGUUUUACAGAGAGCUGAU
This 690-nucleotide long non-coding RNA is filed under the name Homo sapiens (human). Its description in RNAcentral is "HSALNT0236061". Lineage: Eukaryota; Metazoa; Chordata; Mammalia; Primates; Hominidae. The record is from RNAcentral.